This is a transfer RNA of 87 nucleotides. It matches the Rfam family "tRNA". Rfam says of the family: Transfer RNA (tRNA) molecules are approximately 80 nucleotides in length. Their secondary structure includes four short double-helical elements and three loops (D, anti-codon, and T loops).
GCCCGGAUGGCGAAACUGGUAAACGCAGCAGACUUAAAAUCUGCCGGUCGCAAGGCCUUCCGGGUUCGAUUCCCGGUCCGGGCACCA